UCCGUAGGCAGCGAGCGUUGUUCGGAAUUACUGGGCGUAAAGAGUGUGUAGGCGGUGCUCUAAGUUCGGUGUGAAAUCUCUCGGCUUAACUGGGAGGGUGCGCCGGAAACUGGAGUGCUCGAACGUGGGAGAGGAAAGCGGAAUUCCUGGUGUAGCGGUGAAAUGCGUAGAUAUCAGGAGGAACACCUGCGGUGUAGACGGCUUUCUGGACCAUUGUUGACGCUGAGACACGAAAGCGUGGGUAGCAAACAGG
Molecule: ribosomal RNA, 253 nt
Filed under: uncultured bacterium
Lineage: Bacteria
Description: partial 16S ribosomal RNA
Rfam family: Bacterial small subunit ribosomal RNA
Source: RNAcentral